This 445-nucleotide ribosomal RNA is filed under the name uncultured bacterium. RNAcentral's name for it is "bacterial SSU rRNA". It matches the Rfam family "Bacterial small subunit ribosomal RNA", at positions 354 to 796 of the family's 1533-position model. The record is from RNAcentral.
GUGAGGAAUAUUGGUCAAUGGACGGAAGUCUGAACCAGCCAUGCCGCGUGCAGGAAUAAGGUCCUAUGGAUUGUAAACUGCUUUUAUUCGGGAAUAAACCUCUUUACGUGUAGGGAGCUGAAGGUACCGAAGGAAUAAGCACCGGCUAACUCCGUGCCAGCAGCCGCGGUAAUACGGAGGGUGCAAGCGUUAUCCGGAAUCAUUGGGUUUAAAGGGUCCGCAGGCGGGCUAUCAAGUCAGAGGUGAAAUCCCACAGCUUAACUGUGGAACUGCCUUUGAAACUGAUGGUCUUGAAUUAAGUGGGCGUUGGCGGAAUAUGACAUGUAGCGGUGAAAUGCAUAGAUAUGUCAUGGAACACCGAAAGCGAAGGCAGCUAACGAUACUUAUAUUGACGCUCAUGGACGAAAGCGUGGGUAGCGAACAGGAUUAGAAACCCCUGUAGUCC